This is a long non-coding RNA of Ruditapes philippinarum (Manila clam), 807 nucleotides long. RefSeq lists it as uncharacterized. Lineage: Eukaryota; Metazoa; Mollusca; Bivalvia; Venerida; Veneridae. The transcript is spliced from 4 exons. The record is from RefSeq and is a predicted model, not a curated record.
UGAACGUUUUUAGAAGUAAUUAUAAUAUAGUAAGGAAACUUAUAUUUUUUCUAUCUUUUAAAAAGCCAUAAGUGCAGCGUCUCGCCUUCUAUAAAACAAGUUCUCAUUUUUAAGCAUCUUAUAUCAAUUGUUGUAACCAUUGCAACCUUUCUUUUUAAGCUUAGAACGAUUACAGUUUUACUAAAAUUUACAUUUUCAGUGGUUACGUAUUGAAAUGAUCAUUUGCACGUUUCCUUGCAGGAUUCUGAGAAGUAUUGGCCUGAGAAAGGUGAAUCUGUUACAUUUGGUAACAUAGAAAUCACCCAAGAUGGUGACGAAAAGAAGAACCAUCACCAACUUGUAACACUGUCAGCAACGAAGCAUAAAGUGACCCGUAAGAUCAAACAAAUUCGGUGUGGGGGAUGGUCCUACAAUCACAGUUUACCAGACUCCCCAAGUGUUAUACUGACACUGUUAGAAAUUGUUAAAGUAUGGCAGCGACUGUCUGGCCAUCAUACCAUUGUUGUGCAUUGCAUGAAUGGUGUAGACAAAAGUGGUUUGUACUGUGUGAUAUCAGCAGUUAUAGAACACUUACAGAUCGAGCAGGACGUGGCAAUAUCACAGGUCAUUCAAGAAAUGAAGAACGCUAGAAAACAAAUUUUACCCUCUGUGGAACAAUACAAGUUUUGCCAUGAGACUGUCCUUGAAUUUAUACAUCAGUUUGAUAGAUAUUCAAACUUAACUGAGUGUCAAUGAAAUGGUGAUUGAACACUGACAAACACUUGACAAGAAAUUUUGAAUUCAAAUACAUUUUUGAAUGAUUUAAUA